GAGCCAGCUGGUCUCUCCAGCCCUCACCACGACCCUGCGACCCUGCGGCUGACAGGGGUGUCACCCUCCUUCACACCUGAGGACGUUGAGCUCAGGGCAGGGGAAGUUGACCCAAAGAAGUGCUUGGCCUAAAACAAGUGCCUGGCACCCAGUAGGACCUCAAGAGCCUCCGUAAAACUUCCGCUGAUAAACGCAUGGAUCAGUCAACGAAAUAAAAGCAGGCACAAUUGUCUCAAAGAUCAGCAAAAUGUUCUAAUGUCACACGAGGGUGUCCCUGGGUUACUCAUCUGUAAACUUGUGGUUGGAAA
Lemur catta (Ring-tailed lemur) is the source of this 308-nucleotide long non-coding RNA. RefSeq lists it as uncharacterized. NCBI's taxonomy places the organism in Eukaryota, Metazoa, Chordata, Mammalia, Primates, Lemuridae. The transcript has 2 exons. The record is from RefSeq and is a predicted model, not a curated record.